This 528-nucleotide ribosomal RNA is filed under the name uncultured bacterium. RNAcentral describes it as "bacterial SSU rRNA". It matches the Rfam family "Bacterial small subunit ribosomal RNA", at positions 8 to 525 of the family's 1533-position model. The record is from RNAcentral.
AGAGUUUGAUCCUGGCUCAGAUUGAACGCUGGCGGCAGGCCUAACACAUGCAAGUCGAACGGUAACAGGAAGCAGCUUGCUGCUUCGCUGACGAGUGGCGGACGGGUGAGUAAUGUCUGGGAAACUGCCCGAUGGAGGGGGAUAACUACUGGAAACGGUAGCUAAUACCGCAUAACGUCGCAAGACCAAAGAGGGGGACCUUCGGGCCUCUUGCCAUCGGAUGUGCCCAGAUGGGAUUAGCUAGUCGGUGAGGUAACGGCUCACCAAGGCGACGAUCCCUAGCUGGUCUGAGAGGAUGACCAGCCACACUGGAACUGAGACACGGUCCAGACUCCUACGGGAGGCAGCAGUGGGGAAUAUUGCACAAUGGGCGCAAGCCUGAUGCAGCCAUGCCGCGUGUAUGAAGAAGGCCUUCGGGUUGUAAAGUACUUUCAGCGGGGAGGAAGGGGAUGUGGUUAAUAACCGCAUCCAUUGACGUUACCCGCAGAAGAAGCACCGGCUAACUCCGUGCCAGCAGCCGCGGUAAUA